RNAcentral lists this ribosomal RNA (524 nucleotides) under uncultured bacterium. Its description in RNAcentral is "partial 16S ribosomal RNA". It matches the Rfam family "Bacterial small subunit ribosomal RNA", at positions 28 to 523 of the family's 1533-position model. The record is from RNAcentral.
GACGAACGCUGGCGGCGUGCCUAAUACAUGCAAGUCGAACGAAGCUGUUUUAACUGGUGCUUGCACCGACUUAAACAACUGAGUGGCGAACGGGUGAGUAACACGUGGGUAACCUGCCCCAAAGCGGGGGAUAACAUUUGGAAACAGAUGCUAAUACCGCAUAAUCACAGAAACCACAUGGUUUCUGUGUCAAAGAUGGUUUCGGCUAUCACUUUGGGAUGGACCCGCGGCGUAUUAGCUAGUUGGUAAGGUAAUGGCUUACCAAGGCAAUGAGACGUAGCCGAACGGAGAGCUGGAUCGGCCACAUUGGGACUGAGACACGGCCCAAACUCCUACGGGAGGCAGCAGUAGGGAAUCUUCCACAAUGGACGAAAGUCUGAUGGAGCAACGCCGCGUGAGUGAAGAAGGUUUUCGGAUCGUAAAACUCUGUUGUCAGAGAAGAACGUGUGCGAGAGUAACUGUUCGUGCAGUGACGGUAUCUGGCCAGAAAGCCACGGCUAACUACGUGCCAGCAGCCGCCGCCG